This 429-nucleotide ribosomal RNA is filed under the name uncultured bacterium. RNAcentral's name for it is "bacterial SSU rRNA". It matches the Rfam family "Bacterial small subunit ribosomal RNA", at positions 29 to 458 of the family's 1533-position model. The record is from RNAcentral.
AUUGAACGCUGGCGGCAUGCCUAACACAUGCAAGUCGAACGGCAGCACGGCAGUAGCAAUACUGUGGGUGGCGAGUGGCGGACGGGUGAGGAAUACGUCGGAAUCUGCCCAGUCGUGGGGGAUAACUAGCCGAAAGGUUAGCUAAUACCGCAUACGACCGAGAGGUGAAAGCGGGGGACCGCAAGGCCUCGCGCGAUUGGAUGAGCCGACGUCGGAUUAGCUAGUUGGUGGGUAAAGGCCACCAAGGCGACGAUCCGUAGCUGGUCUGAGAGGAUGAUCAGCCACACUGGAACUGAGACACGGUCCAGACUCCUACGGGAGGCAGCAGUGGGGAAUAUUGGACAAUGGGCGCAAGCCUGAUCCAGCAAUGCCGCGUGUGUGAAGAAGGCCUCGGUUGUAAGUAGACUUUAUCUAGACGAAAGACGUGGA